This 468-nucleotide ribosomal RNA is filed under the name uncultured bacterium. RNAcentral describes it as "partial 16S ribosomal RNA". It matches the Rfam family "Bacterial small subunit ribosomal RNA", at positions 28 to 507 of the family's 1533-position model. The record is from RNAcentral.
GACGAACGCUGGCGGCGUGCUUAAUACAUGCAAGUCGAACGGAAAGGCCCUGCUUUUGCGGGGCUCUCGUGUGGCGAACGGGGGUGUAACACGUGAGUAUCCCGCCCUUGACUUUCGGAUAAAUUCACGAAAAUGGGGAUAAUACCCGAUAGGAGCUCCUGAUCCGCGUUGUGGAAUGGAUAGAUGCGGCUGUUGGAGAUGGACUCGCGGCUUAUGAGCUUGUUGGUGGGGUAGUGGUUUACCAAGUCUUUGACGGGUAGGCGGCCUGAGAGGGGGAACGGCGACAAUGGUACUGAGAGACGGACCAGACGCCUACGGGAGGCAGCGGUGGGGAAUAUUGCACAAUGGGCGGACGCCAGAUGCAGCGACGUCGGGAGCGGGAUGACGGCCUUCGAGGUGAGAACCGAUGUGGCCUGUGAUGAAGCGUGAGUGACGGUAAUGGGUAAAGAAGCACCGGCUAACUACGUG